RNAcentral lists this non-coding RNA (772 nucleotides) under Opisthoplatia orientalis. Lineage: Eukaryota; Metazoa; Arthropoda; Insecta; Blattodea; Blaberidae. The record is from RNAcentral.
CUGUACUAUUAAAUAGAUAAUAAGUUUUAUUCUUGCUAAAAUAUUUAUUAUAUAAUAGAAUUAUAUGCAAUAUAUUAAUUAGUAUGAUUUCUUAAUGAUUUUAUAUAAUUUAAAUUGCAGUAAUUAAUAUUAAUAAUUUAAGAAAUUUUGAGUUAGUUAUUUUUAUUAAAUAUUGAUUAAAUAUGUGCCAGCAGUCGCGGUUAUACAUAGAAUAUAAAUAAAUAUAUUCAGUUUAGUAGUUAUUAUCAUUAUUUUAAUUAAUUUAUAUAUUUUAUUUUUAGGUGAAAUUUAAUUUUUUUUUAAUUUAAUCUACAUUAUAAGAAGCUAUGAAAUCUAAUUAAUUAAACUAGGAUUAGAUACCCUAUUAUUAUAGAUAUAAAUUUUGGACUUGAGUAGUAUUAGUUAUGAUCUUGAAACUUAAAGAAUUUGGCGGUAUUUUAGUCUAUUUAGAGGAAUCUGUUCCAUUAUCGAUAUUCCACGUUGAACCUUACUUAAUUUAUUAAUAUGUAUACCGCCGUUUAUUGAAAAUCUUAUUAGGGUAAAAUUUUCUUAAUACAAAAUUUUGUAAUAUUUCAGGUCAAGGUGCAGUUUAUAAUUAAGUGGAAAUGGAUUACAAUACUUUAGUAUCACGGAUUAUAAUUUUAAACAGUUAUAUAAAGGUGGAUUUAAUAGUAAUUUUUAAAAGAUUGUUAAAGUGAUUAAAGCUCUAAAAUGUGUACACAUCGCCCGUCACUCUCGUUAUUAAGAUGAGAUAAGUCGUAACAAAGUAGGU